AAAAAUCUAGCUCAGACAAAUCUAGCCCAGGAUGGAGGCAUAAAACAUGAGCUUUUCUCUGUCAAAAGCAUCAUCCCCUGCAUCAAGAACUUCGAUUUGAGCUUUCUGCAAGGCUUUAUGCAGUUGGUCAUUUUUUUCCCGAGUUGAUUUCAUCUCCUUGGAUUUCUUGGUUAUAGUGGAUUGCAAUUCUUGACUCUUAGCCUCCGACUUUUCCCUUUUUGUCUUCUCCUCCAAUAAUUGUCUCUCCAGGUCGAAUAUUAUAUUCGUCUGCGCCUUCU
Molecule: long non-coding RNA, 278 nt
Filed under: Lathyrus oleraceus (garden pea)
Lineage: Eukaryota; Viridiplantae; Streptophyta; Magnoliopsida; Fabales; Fabaceae
Description: Pisum sativum (pea) long non-coding RNA (PSAT_LNC019670)
Source: RNAcentral